RNAcentral lists this long non-coding RNA (304 nucleotides) under Cricetulus griseus (Chinese hamster). RNAcentral's name for it is "lncRNA (ENSCGRG00000025564.1)". Lineage: Eukaryota; Metazoa; Chordata; Mammalia; Rodentia; Cricetidae. The record is from RNAcentral.
CAGGAACAUGUCUAGGAAACUCAUCAAGGAGAACUGGCUACAUCCCCCAGAUGAGUUCCAAGAUAAGCAGGUUGCCUGUCCCCGUGGAUGCCGAUGUGGUAGCACAGGGACUCUGGCACAGUUUAAAAAGUGAAAUGUGUAGAGAAGAAUCCAAGGGAGAGUCGGACCCUUGUCUCUCCGAGUUGAAGCAGCACCACCAUGGCGGGCUUUCCACGGACUCAUGCCCACUCCAAACAGACCGAAUGGCUGAAGAGUUAAUCUUCAGCUCUGCCACUAUCUGGUCACCAAAUAACUGUUUUCAAAC